AUGAUGUCACUUGCAUUGAAGUGUAAAACUUCGAAGGAGGUUCUUACAUAUCUGAACGUUGGUAUUGAUAAGUUGGCUUUGGAAGCACAUGAAUUAUUUGGCAAUCUAAACUUAGAUGAGAAUGAUGAUUCUGAAAGUUCCUCCGAAAUGAAUGAAUAUGUUGCCAAGACAAUGGUGCUAUUCAAAGCUCCUGAACGAAUAAAAGGUCCAAUGAAAAAAAGAUCAAAAGAUGUUCUAGAGGGAGCAAAGAAAGGGAAAAAGAAAGGAAAAGGUACAAACCAUCCAGCAAAGGAGUCGGUGCUUGUUCCACCUACAAUUGGCCCUUCAGAAUUCGCCGGUGCCAGUACUAUAUGUCCGCCUGUAGCCAUGGCAUUUGGAGAGUGCCCACUAGUUUCUGUUCCACCUAUUCAAGGAGAAUUUACAAGAUUAUUGCUUGAAGCUCAUGGAGAUGGCACAACAUUGCCGGCUGCUCGUCAAUUAGAUUUCAGCGAAGAUGCUAGCACAUCAAGGUUUCAGCAGUGA
RNAcentral lists this ribosomal RNA (522 nucleotides) under Triticum aestivum (bread wheat). RNAcentral describes it as "partial small subunit ribosomal RNA". Lineage: Eukaryota; Viridiplantae; Streptophyta; Magnoliopsida; Poales; Poaceae. The record is from RNAcentral.